RNAcentral lists this ribosomal RNA (493 nucleotides) under uncultured bacterium. Its description in RNAcentral is "partial 16S ribosomal RNA". It matches the Rfam family "Bacterial small subunit ribosomal RNA", at positions 30 to 523 of the family's 1533-position model. The record is from RNAcentral.
AUUGAACGCUGGCGGCAUGCCUUACACAUGCAAGUCGAACGGUAACAGGUUAAGCUGACGAGUGGCGAACGGGUGAGUAAUGUAUCGGAACGUGCCCAGUCGUGGGGGAUAACUGCUCGAAAGAGCAGCUAAUACCGCAUACGACCUGAGUGUGAAAGCGGGGGAUCGCAAGACCUCGCGCGAUUGGAGCGGCCGAUAUCAGAUUAGGUAGUUGGUUAGGUAAAGGCUCACCAAGCCGACGAUCUGUAGCUUGUCUGAGAGGACGACCAGCCACACGGGAACUGAGACACGGCACAGACUCCUACGGAAGGCAGCAGUGGGGAAUUUUGGACAAUGGGCGCAAGCCUGAUCCAGCCAUGCCGCGUGCGGGAAGAAGGCCUUCGGGUUGUAAACCGCUUUUGUCAGGGAAGAAAAGGUUCUGGCUAAUACCUGGGACUCAUGACGGUACCUGAAGAAUAAGCACCGGCUAACUACGUGCCAGCCGCCGCCGUAA